This is a long non-coding RNA of Biomphalaria glabrata, 372 nucleotides long. RefSeq lists it as uncharacterized. The transcript has 2 exons. The record is from RefSeq and is a predicted model, not a curated record. NCBI's taxonomy places the organism in Eukaryota, Metazoa, Mollusca, Gastropoda, Planorbidae.
UGUAUGUGACAUCUGUUUGCUAUUUUUACAAAUUUUACAACAACCCAGUGUCUGGUACAAAUCUUGUACACGUUAUUUCUCUCAAUUCCCUUUGUCUGAUCAAGUUGACGUUACUUCAAAAAAGAAGAUAAUUACGCCCUACGCAUUGCAUGUGUCAAUCAAGCCAUGCAUGUUAAUCAAGUCGUUGAAUUUCCUGGCUGAUUCAAGCAACUCAUCCCAUUCUCUAAUGACACUAGGGAAGAGGAAGCACUUGUACGAAUUCGUUCUAGCGUAUGGAAUAAGAAAUGUGCCAGUAUCCUGAAGUGUCUCAAAUUUUAGUGAUUGUACUAAUGAUGUUACUCUAAUCAAAUUAGAAUAUUCAUAUGUUUUAAA